UUUUUUUUUUUUUUUUAACAGCUGUACCCAUGGCUUAUAGAAGUUCCUGGCGAGGGGUCAAACUGGAGCUACAGCUGAGGCCUAUACCACAGCCACGGAAACACCAUAUCUGAGCAGCAUCUGUGAUCUACACCGUAGCUUGAGGCAAUGCCCAGAUCCCUAACCCACUGAGCGAGGCCAGGGAUGGAACACACAUCCUCACAUAGACAUUGGGUCCUUAUUUAACCCACUGAGCCAAAAGGGGAAACCCUAAAUGUAUUUUAUUUUAUUUUAUUUAUUUAUUUAUUUAUUUGUCUUUUUUUGCUAUUUCUUGGGCCGCUCCCUCAGCAUAUGGAGCAGCCCAAAGAAAUAGCAAAAAGACAAAAAAAGAAAAGUUCUGGGGAUGGAUGAUGGCAAUGGUUUCACAACAAAAUGAAUGUAGUUAAUGCCACAGAAAGAACUGUGGAUUUAUGUAUAUUUUACCAUAAAGGAAAGAAAGAGAAAGGAGGAUGGAUGGAUGAAUGCAGAGACCUACAAAGCUUAAUACAGUAUGGUAGACUGGACCAUUCCUGAUGAUUCUUCAUGCUGUCCUUGUAUUAAAAUUAUAUAGUCAUGCCCUUUUCCAUGUAACUUUAUAGUUUUUUGGUUUUUUUUUCUUCUGACAUGGAGUAUAUUUCCCUGCACCAUUAAUGUCAGAUUUGACCAUGCAAUCGGCUUUGGCCAAUGGAAUGUUCUCAGGAUUACAUGAGAACAAACAGAGGCUUCCAAUGUGCUUCUGCAGUAUGGACUGCCUUCUGACACUCUGGUGAUGCACCAUGAAAAGAAAACAUGAGAAGCUGCUAGCCAGAGAAAAAGAGGAAGUAAACCAAACAGAUUCAAAUCCAACCUCAAACUCUAGAGCCAAGACCAGCCAACACACAGCCUGACAUAAAUCCAUUGUGCCCCAACCUGUGAUUACACCAACCUCUGUUGUUGCAGGCUAUGGCGUGUGGGGGCAGUUUGUUACGCAGCAUGGUUAUAGCAAGAGCUACCUGAUACAAUGGUUUCAGUGGUCUUGGCUUUGCCACCAAGAGACUCUUCAAAGAGUAAUGCGCACUUGCCACAAGGUGCUUAAGAAGGAGCUCUUUUCUAGAAUUAAACAUCUAUCAGUUCUUUUAAAUAGAAUGCCCUGAACUAUAAACUUUUACAAAUUAUUUAGGAGGACUACUAUGCCUCAGAUCCUUGAAGAAGGUGAGUCUAAGGUAGAAUUGUGCUUCCUUCAUUCCUUAAGGGCCUGUGGCUUAAGGUCUUAACUGGUGUUAAACCUGAAGCAAACAACUCCUGGCACUUCUCAUGACACAUUAUCAUCCCAGGAGACCAUCUGAAUUUUAAAGGAUCCAAUUUGAAAUGCUUCCUGAAGCACUUCAAGCUUCACUCAGCAUUCUCCUUUGCAAAUUUCUCUUUUCAACAGUCCCUGGCAGUCACUCAGAGCUGGCAGUCAAGAGACUCUACUCUCUGAGACCGUUUACCCAGGGAGGAAGGAAAAUCUGCACAUAGUCAAACCCACGUUUUUGCACAAGUCAAAGAAAGCAAACCAUGGCCAAUCAGAGGGCACAUAGCAGCC
This 1582-nucleotide long non-coding RNA is filed under the name Sus scrofa (pig). Its description in RNAcentral is "lncRNA (ENSSSCG00050023379.1)". Lineage: Eukaryota; Metazoa; Chordata; Mammalia; Artiodactyla; Suidae. The record is from RNAcentral.